GACGAACGCUGGCGGCGUGCCUAACACAUGCAAGUUGAACGAAGCAUACUGGAUUAGAGAUUCGUCAAAGAUCGGGUAUGACUUAGUGGCGGACGGGUGAGUAAUACAUGAGCAACCUGCCCUGAAGAGGGGGACAACAGUUGGAAACGACUGCUAAUACCGCAUGAAGUCGUUGGGAGGCAUCUCCUGACGACCAAAGAUUUAUCGCUUCAGGAUGGGCUCAUGUCUGAUUAGCCAGUUGGUGAGGUAACGGCUCACCAAAGCAGUGAUCAGUAGCCGGACUGAGAGGUUGACCGGCCACAUUGGGACUGAGAUACGGCCCAGACUCCUACGGGAGGCAGCAGUGGGGAAUAUUGGGCAAUGGGCGCAAGCCUGACCCAGCAACGCCGCGUGAAGGAAGAAGGCUCGGUGUAAUCUUUAUGUAGGACGAGGAAGUGAGGUACUCAUGAUAAGCACGGCUAACUACGUAGCC
This 472-nucleotide ribosomal RNA is filed under the name uncultured bacterium. RNAcentral's name for it is "bacterial SSU rRNA". It matches the Rfam family "Bacterial small subunit ribosomal RNA", at positions 28 to 510 of the family's 1533-position model. The record is from RNAcentral.